This 253-nucleotide ribosomal RNA is filed under the name uncultured bacterium. Its description in RNAcentral is "partial 16S ribosomal RNA". It matches the Rfam family "Bacterial small subunit ribosomal RNA", at positions 524 to 776 of the family's 1533-position model. The record is from RNAcentral.
UACGUAGGGUGCAAGCGUUGUCCGGAAUUAUUGGGCGUAAAGAGCUCGUAGGCGGUCUGUCGCGUCUGCUGUGAAAACCUGGGGCUUAACUCUGGGCGUGCAGUGGGUACGGGCAGACUAGAGUGCAGUAGGGGAGACUGGAAUUCCUGGUGUAGCGGUGAAAUGCGCAGAUAUCAGGAGGAACACCGGUGGCGAAGGCGGGUCUCUGGGCCGUAACUGACGCUGAGGAGCGAAAGCGUGGGGAGCGAACAGG